RNAcentral lists this ribosomal RNA (323 nucleotides) under uncultured bacterium. RNAcentral describes it as "bacterial SSU rRNA". It matches the Rfam family "Bacterial small subunit ribosomal RNA", at positions 18 to 344 of the family's 1533-position model. The record is from RNAcentral.
CAUGGCUCAGGAUGAACGCUAGCGGCAGGCCUAACACAUGCAAGUCGAGGGAGAAGCCCUUUCGGGGGCAGAAACCGGCGCACGGGUGCGUAACGCGUAUGCAACCUACCUUUCACAGGGGGAUAGCCCGAAGAAAUUUGGAUUAAUACCCCAUAAUAUUAUUGGAUGGCAUCAUUUGAUAAUUAAAACUGCGGUGGUGAAAGAUGGGCAUGCGUCCUAUUAGCUAGUUGGAGUGGUAACGGCACCCCAAGGCUACGAUAGGUAGGGGUCCUGAGAGGGAGAUCCCCCACACUGGUACUGAGACAGGGACCAGACUCCUACGG